Molecule: unclassified non-coding RNA, 207 nt
Filed under: plant metagenome
Description: partial contains small subunit ribosomal RNA, internal transcribed spacer 1, and 5.8S ribosomal RNA
Source: RNAcentral
UUUCCGUAGGUGAACCUGCGGAAGGAUCAUUCAUAAUAAGUGUUUUAUGGCACUUUUUUAAAUCCAUAUCCACCUUGUGUGCAAUGUCAGGGUUGGUCUCUUUUGAUCAGCCCCAAACAUCAGCUAUUAUCUCAACUCUUUGUCUGAAAAAUAUUAUGAAUAAAACAAUUCAAAAUACAACUUUCAACAACGGAUCUCUUGGCUCUC